GGCGGGGUAGCUCAGUUGGUGAGAGCGCACGACUCAUAAUCGUGAGGUCGCGGGUUCGAGUCCCGCCUCCGCUACCA
This 77-nucleotide transfer RNA is filed under the name Microbacterium sp. No. 7. RNAcentral describes it as "tRNA-Met". It matches the Rfam family "tRNA". Rfam says of the family: Transfer RNA (tRNA) molecules are approximately 80 nucleotides in length. Their secondary structure includes four short double-helical elements and three loops (D, anti-codon, and T loops). Lineage: Bacteria; Bacillati; Actinomycetota; Actinomycetes; Micrococcales; Microbacteriaceae. RNAcentral also lists the same sequence under 2 other names. The record is from RNAcentral.